CGGCUGCGUGCCCUGGGGUGCCGGGCGACUGCGGCGCGGCCACGGCCCCGAGCCCGACUCGCCCUUCCGCCGCAGCCCGCCCCGCGGCCCCGCCUCCCCGCAGCGCUGACCUCCACGCCCGGACCCCUGGCCACCCCGACAAGCUUCGCCGAGGUGCCGACCGACCAACUGAUCGCGGACGCCGGCUGGAAGGACUACGGAUCCGCAGGAAGAGGCAGUGGGGGGCCAGGGGCCCAGUAGAGGAGGCUGAGGUGCGGUCUUAGCGGCUGCUCCUUCCAACUCCUCAGAACCUCCACUCUAUGGAUCUGGACCUCUGGAUUCGGCUUUCUCCCUGGGCACUGCCUUCAGGAAGACGUUGAGAAUUGACCUUACACAAUCCCAGCGCCCUCCUCACAGGAGCCUUUCACUUUACAGUGGCAAGGGGCUGGUUCUGGGGAACUGGCUGAUGCUCUGAAUUUCUUCAUAUACCCCACAUUUGACUUUGGCUUACACUGUACAAUUGGAGAUGUUGCUACAGGUCCCUGAGAUGCAAUCAGAUUAAGCGUAGCAAGCAUUGCCAAUGGGAAAGUCAAAAUAAUUUAUUUUUUUUCCCUUUCCCCCUACCCCAUCCCCAGCCAAGAAUUUCUUUUAAAGAUAUCGUCAUCAUUCUUAAACAACAUUCUUAACCCCCAGCUGGGGUCCCCAUUUUAGUAGAUGUCAUUGCUUCAAGUCUAACGGCGCCGGGAGGCCUGUUUGAGGGAAAACAUUAGUUUGAAAAAUCCCCGUUCCCUUCAUCCACUGCCCUUGUUCUCCACGUGGGAGUGUGCCUGUGGCCCCUUAGAAAGAUAGUCUGCUGGCUCCUAGGGGUUGGGGUGGGGGACACACCUUUUUCUCAGGAAGAGGUGAUGGCAAUGUAAAACAUCUAAGCAAAGUUUUAAAUGAAAAAAAGGAAACACAUUUAAACAUCCUGAUAAUGGAGGGAAGGGGGGCACAUUUACACAUAGCCCAGAACUUGUAGAAUUCUGCAUAGUGAAUGUAUAUUGAAUUAGUCUCCUGC
RNAcentral lists this long non-coding RNA (1036 nucleotides) under Pan troglodytes (chimpanzee). Its description in RNAcentral is "long non-coding RNA NONPTRT000153". Lineage: Eukaryota; Metazoa; Chordata; Mammalia; Primates; Hominidae. The record is from RNAcentral.